RNAcentral lists this ribosomal RNA (439 nucleotides) under uncultured bacterium. Its description in RNAcentral is "partial 16S ribosomal RNA". It matches the Rfam family "Bacterial small subunit ribosomal RNA", at positions 339 to 795 of the family's 1533-position model. The record is from RNAcentral.
CUACGGGGCGCUGCAGUGGGGAAUAUUGCACAAUGGAGGAAACUCUGAUGCAGCAACGCCGCGUGGAGGAUGACACUUUUCGGAGCGUAAACUCCUUUUAUAUAGGAAGAAGAUGACGGUACUAUAUGAAUAAGCGCCGGCUAACUCCGUGCCAGCAGCCGCGGUAAUACGGAGGGCGCAAGCGUUACUCGAAAUCACUGGGCGUAAAGAGCGUGUAGGCGGAUUAAAAAGUCAGAAGUGAAAUCCUAUAGCUUAACUAUAGAACUGCUUCUGAAACUCUUAAUCUAGAAUAUGGGAGAGGUAUAUGGAAUUUCUGGUGUAGGGGUAAAAUCCGUAGAGAUCAGAAGGAAUACCGAUUGCGAAGGCGAUCUACUAGAACAUUAUUGACGCUGAGACGCGAAAGCGUGGGGAGCAAACAGGAUUAGAUACCCUAGUAGUC